Molecule: ribosomal RNA, 416 nt
Filed under: uncultured bacterium
Lineage: Bacteria
Description: bacterial SSU rRNA
Rfam family: Bacterial small subunit ribosomal RNA
Source: RNAcentral
UAAGGAAUAUUGGACAAUGGAGGCAACUCUGAUCCAGCCAUGCCGCGUGAAGGAAUAAGGCCCUAUGGGUUGUAACCUUCUUUUAGACGGGACAAAACCCCUUUACGUGUAUAGGGUUGAUGGUACUGUCAGAAUAAGCAUCGGCUAACUUCGUGCCAGCAGCCGCGGUAAUACGAAGGAUGCAAGCGUUAUCCGGAAUUAUUGGGUUUAAAGGGUGCGUAGGCGGACUAAUAAGUCAGUGGUGAAAGCCUGCAGCUUAACUGCAGAAUUGCCAUUGAUACUGUUAGUCUUGAGUACAGUUGAGGUAGGCGGAAUGUGUCAUGUAGCGGUGAAAUGCUUAGAUAUGACACAGAACACCGAUUGCGAAGGCAGCUUGCUAAGCUGUAACUGACGCUGAGGCACGAAAGCGUGGGGAG